GUUUUGAAGUGUUCUUGCAUUAAACUUGAAAAUUACUUGAAGCAUAAUACGAUUUCUGAUAUUGAUGGAAUAGAAUUAUUUUCUGAGUUGAAAGUUUUAAGGGAAGCGAUAUCUGCAGACAUUUUUGGAGCAAUUAAUGUAUUGGAUUACAUUAAGAAAAUGAACUGUUGUUAUGCAAAUGCCUGGAUUGCUUAUAGAGUAUUAUUGACUAUUCCUGUCACAGUUGCCUCUGCCGAAAGAAGUUUUUCAAAGUUGAAGUUGAUUAAAUCUUAUCUUCGAUCAUCCAUGUCACAAGAGCGAUUGAACGGAUUAGCUAUGAUUUCUAUUGAAAAAAAUAUGUUGGACAAACUUGAUGUUAGUAGUUUGAUUACUAAUUUUAUAUCUCAAAAUGUGAGAAGGUUAAAUCUUAUGCUAGCC
This 417-nucleotide long non-coding RNA is filed under the name Olea europaea subsp. europaea. Lineage: Eukaryota; Viridiplantae; Streptophyta; Magnoliopsida; Lamiales; Oleaceae. The record is from RNAcentral.